AAGAACAAGGUCUCCGUUGGUGAACCAGCGGAGGGAUCAUUACCGAGUUUACAACUCCCAAACCCAAUGUGAACGUUACCAAACUGUUGCCUCGGCGGGAUCUCUGCCCCGGGUGCGUCGCAGCCCCGGACCAAGGCGCCCGCCGGAGGACCAACCAAAACUCUUUUUGUAUACCCCCUCGCGGGUUUUUUAUAAUCUGAGCCUUCUCGGCGCCUCUCGUAGGCGUUUCGAAAAUGAAUCAAAACUUUCAACAACGGAUCUCUUGGUUCUGGCAUCGAUGAAGAACGCAGCGAAAUGCGAUAAGUAAUGUGAAUUGCAGAAUUCAGUGAAUCAUCGAAUCUUUGAACGCACAUUGCGCCCGCCAGUAUUCUGGCGGGCAUGCCUGUCCGAGCGUCAUUUCAACCCUCGAACCCCUCCGGGGGGUCGGCGUUGGGGAUCGGCCCUGCCUCUUGGCGGUGGCCGUCUCCGAAAUACAGUGGCGGUCUCGCCGCAGCCUCUCCUGCGCAGUAGUUUGCACACUCGCAUCGGGAGCGCGGCGCGUCCACAGCCG
Molecule: ribosomal RNA, 550 nt
Filed under: Trichoderma harzianum
Lineage: Eukaryota; Fungi; Ascomycota; Sordariomycetes; Hypocreales; Hypocreaceae
Description: eukaryotic LSU rRNA
Rfam family: 5.8S ribosomal RNA (bases 243-396)
Source: RNAcentral